GUGAUCUAGCCAUGGGCAGGUUGAAGGUUGGGUAACACUAACUGGAGGACCGAACCGACUAAUGUUGAAAAAUUAGCGGAUGACCUGUGGCUGGGGGUGAAAGGCCAAUCAAACCGGGAGAUAGCUGGUUCUCCCCGAAAGCUAUUUAGGUAGCGCCUCGUGAAUUCAUCUCCGGGGGUAGAGCACUGUUUCGGCUAGGGGGCCAUCCCGGCUUACCAACCCGAUGCAAACUGCGAAUACCGGAGAAUGUUAUCACGGGAGACACACGGCGGGUGCUAACGUCCGUCGUGAAGAGGGAAACAACCCAGACCGCCAGCUAAGGUCCCAAAGUCAUGGUUAAGUGGGAAACGAUGUGGGAAGGCCCAGACAGCCAGGAUGUUGGCUUAGAAGCAGCCAUCAUUUAAAGAAAGCGUAAUAGCUCACUGGUCGAGUCGGCCUGCGCGGAAGAUGUAACGGGGCUAAACCAUGCACCGAAGCUGCGGCAGCGACACUGUGUGUUGUUGGGUAGGGGAGCGUUCUGUAAGCCUGUGAAGGUGUGUCGUGAGGC
RNAcentral lists this ribosomal RNA (547 nucleotides) under Salmonella enterica. RNAcentral describes it as "partial 23S ribosomal RNA". It matches the Rfam family "Bacterial large subunit ribosomal RNA", at positions 725 to 1269 of the family's 2925-position model. The record is from RNAcentral. Lineage: Bacteria; Pseudomonadati; Pseudomonadota; Gammaproteobacteria; Enterobacterales; Enterobacteriaceae. RNAcentral also lists the same sequence under 1 other name.